RNAcentral lists this ribosomal RNA (393 nucleotides) under uncultured bacterium. Its description in RNAcentral is "partial 16S ribosomal RNA". It matches the Rfam family "Bacterial small subunit ribosomal RNA", at positions 523 to 918 of the family's 1533-position model. The record is from RNAcentral.
AUACGGAGGAUGCAAGCGUUAUCCGGAUUCAUUGGGUUUAAAGGGUGCGUAGGCGGAUUUUUAAGCGUGAGGUGAAAUGCCCGGGCUCAACCUGGGAACUGCCUCGCGAACUGGAAGUCUGGAAUGUCCGUGCCGUGGGAGGAAUGUGUGGUGUAGCGGUGAAAUGCAUAGAGAUCACACAGAACACCGAUUGCGAAGGCAUCUCACGAACGGAUGAUUGACGCUGAGGCACGAAAGCGUGGGGAUCAAACAGGAUUAGAUACCCUGGUAGUCCACGCAGUAAACGAUGAUAACUAACCGCUGGGCAUUGUUGUUCAGUGGCCAAGCGAAGGCGAUAAGUUAUCCACCUGGGGAGUACGACCGCAAGGUUGAAACUCAAAGGAAUUGACGGGG